RNAcentral lists this long non-coding RNA (2432 nucleotides) under Homo sapiens (human). RNAcentral's name for it is "HSALNT0271553". The record is from RNAcentral. Lineage: Eukaryota; Metazoa; Chordata; Mammalia; Primates; Hominidae.
AUUAAUGCAUUACAGACAGAAAGGAAAAAAUGGAUUGGGUAGGUCAGUUAUUGUAAAACUAAAGUAGUUAAGUUUCAUAUUUCUUGACAAAGAAACUUUGCUGGGUGCUGGUGGAACAAGGACAGAAAUAAUUUAAUUCAGCUGGCACAUUCUGCGUCUGCAAAUAAACCAAAACAUACGCACAGCGCUCCACAUUGUUGCCUGUCAUCCUAUUAUAUGUCUUUAUCAUCUCUUUCUUGAACUACAAUAAUCUAGCUGGGUCCUUUGCUUCCACUUGUCCCUUUAUAAUUCUUCAGACAGUGACCUUUUUUAAAACAAAUCAGACCAUGUUAUUUUUUUGUUUAAAGUUUUCUAUGUCCUUUCAAUAAAAACCAACCUCUGAUCAUGGCCCCAGUUUUCUGCACAAAUGUUCUAGUCCACUUGAUAAUAGUCUUUCUUAACUUCUUUUAUCAUUCUUGGCUUAAGGAUCUUUUUGUAUGUUUUUUUUUAUUCCAACUUGACUUUUUCCUCUAGAUCUUUGUUAAGCUGAUUUCUUCUAAUUAUUUAGAUUCCUGCUUAAAAUAUCACCUUCUCAGAGAAAUGUUUCUUGUCAGCUAUCUAAGUUGCUUCCCCCUUUUUACUGUCAUUCGGAAGUAGAACACAGUAUUUUAGUUUCUUGGUAGCAUUUCCUAGGUCAUAAUUUUUUUAUUUACUAAUAUUUUUAUUCUCACUGGAAAUAUUCACCAUGAUACUAGAAACCUUGCCUAUAUUUUUACCUUCUUACUCUCAGUCUAUAGGAUGAAAUCUAGUAUGUCAUACAAUCUUUGCUUAUUAAAUAUUUGAAAGAAUAAAUGCAGAAAUCCUCUGUCAUCAGAGGUGAUCAGUUUUUCUACGUAAUCUAAAAGGUGUAAAAAGAUCAACAAAUUUAUUCAAUUAACUAUUAUGUUUUGAACUCUAAUGGAAUAAACACAUUCUUAAUCAUUCCUUGAACUUUAUACUAAUGUAUAUUAAAGUUUUAGUAGUCAAUGUGUAUUUUGGUAGCUUAUAUUAAUAUUUAGCAUAUUACCAAUAUUUUCUAAUUUAUCUGGUUCUGUCAUCAUUUAUUCCUGAAAAGCAGCUAAUACUUCUCAAGCUGGCUAUGAGCCAAUGCAUUUAAAAGAGGAGACUCUCACAUCUCUUUAUUCCUGAUUUCAAAUGUAUAUACACACAUAUAUAUUUUUAAAAAUUAUAUUAUAUUAAAAAAUUCAAAGGAAAUAAUUGUUCAUUUGAAUUUUUUAAUAUUGUUGAUCUUUUUUCAAAAUGUUUUUCUUUCCAAAUCACUUUUUACUUAGGCUCCACUUAUAGUCCCUAAUAUCCACCCAGACUCCUUUUAUAGCUAUGAACCAAAGUCUUCAGAAUAUCUCAAUAAUUUUACCAUGUUUUUUAUUGUAGUCUCUCUUCUUCCUAUUUCUCAAUCUGUUCUAAAUCACAACCUAUUUGUACCAAUUUCUUAUUCAAUCACAUUUAUGUCUUCCUUUGCUUACAGGGACAAUUUUCUAUACAUAAGGAUGAUAUUCAAAAUCUCUUCACCUAAUUGGUCUUCUCUACCAAACUAAACAUCACUAUUUUUCAAACGAUUCUCUCCUAUUGACCACCGAACACAUCAUAUCUAGAAUUACUACAAAACAAUCCUAAUAAAUUGGUCUUCCUUCUUUGAAUAGCAAUAAUCCCAAUUACUGGAUUGGAAAAUUUAAAUUAUAUGUUACAAUGCCUUAUUAUCUCACUCUUUAUAUGUUUUCUUCCCCAGCUACAUGAAAAGCUAUUACACAGCUAUUAUUUUGACUUAUACUUGUUUUGCUGCUUUUUUUUUUUUUUUUUGAGACGGUGUCUCGCUCUGUCGCUCAGGCUGGAGUGCAGUGGCGUGAUCUUAGCUCACUCUUGUUUUGCAUUUUUUAUGUGACUAGCACACAAUGCUUACAACUCUAGCCACUUAAUUCAUUUUGCUUCAAAGUGUGAAUGAAUACAAUUUAUUACCAUGUAAACUGGCUAAAUAAUCACUCAUAAUUUUUGUCCUCAUAAGGGACAAACAGCUAUAAUAUAAAGUUACGAUAUUUCCCAUAUGUCCUUGAAGUGAAGGUGGCCAUGUGACUCAACUUGGCCCAAAGGAGCAAUAUGGAGAGAUAGUGGAAAUAAUAUGUCCCGCCUCAAGGCAAGGCUCACAUAAACGUAUGCAUGAUUUUCAAACUCUUUUCCUUCCUAGCAAGCUUGAUGUUAAUGAUAAUGAUAAAUUUUUGGAAGCCAUACAUUAAAGAUGAAGAAAAAUAUGGAAAUAGCUCAAGUUACCUCCCCAACAUUAAAACAAACAACCCUCAGAGAAAAUUCACCAGUUAACGAGGAACUAGAAUUUUGAACGCACUGUGAAAAAAACUAAAACAAAAGCAAACAAACAAAUAAAACUUCUACCAAGUUUGAGC